CUGCCGCUGAUUGGCUUGCUCAUCCAGGUACAUGGCCUAAAGCUGCGAGCCAGUGUGUUUUCGGACUUUCCGAAACUAGAGCGUACUGGUUAGCCGGCCGUGGUUUUGACACUUCUAGCAGCUUACGGCCACACCCCCCUGAGAGCUUCUGAUCUUGGAAGCUAAGCAUGGCUGGGGCUGGUUAGUACUUGGAUGGGAGACCGCCUGGGAGUGGCCAAUGACCCCUGCAAGUCCUUAUCCGAGUUCCUGAUCAUGCCACCAGAGGAUUUUUUGGCCAAUUUUUAAAACAGAUUUCUUGCUGAUAUUUUGCUCAUUUGUGAUGUUAUAUUGUGAACUUCUACCUUUUAUUUGGCAUAACAUUUGAUUGUAUUUUUUUAAAUGUGUUGAUCUGUAAUAUUAUUUAACCUUUUCGUAUUCUUGUAUUUUAGACACUUGUGUGCAUGUUAAAAUGAUGAUUUUUAUGAUUACAAAUCAAGCCUUGGCCACAACGAUAUGUUUUUAUAUCAGCUCAUCUCAUACAAAUGAAAUCAUUUUGUCAGUUUUAAACUUGUCAGUGUGUUCAAGGUGAACGCAGUUUCCUGAAGCCCAGACCAGAAAGCAGCAUGUGCAGUGCAGGUUGGUGGUCCAACGGAACAGUCUGGUAGAAGUGUUCUCAGACAGCUCGUGCCAGGCUUCGCUGGAGGGCUGUGGGUGCAUCCCAAAGGGCUGCCCCCCAGGCUCCAGGUGGAGGUUCCCAAACACGUGGAGGUGAAACCCCGGCCUUCACCUGCCAGGUGUGCCAGGAGGGAGCGGGUGCCUGCUCAGGACCAUGUGGGGGUGACACCAAGGUCACCUACCAAGGACGUGGGGAUGGACAAGCCCAUGGACCAGAUGAGGGGACGGGGCUUAAUAUUGUCUUUUAGAGUGAUAUUCAAUUUUUUUUUUUUUUUUUAAGUUUAACGUGUUAUUUUAUUUAUUCCUACUUAACUUUUUGUUGUGUUCUCCUUUAUUAAGAGACACGAUUCUUGUGCAAGUAUGAUCAAAACCUAAAUUUCUAUUAAACAGCAUUUAUGAAUUUCAGUUUACAUGUUUAAGUGUAGUUAUUGUUUACAUGAUGAUGUGAGAAAUGAAAUGCAUGCUUUUUAUUUAUUCAUCACUGUCUUUUUUUUCUCUUUUUCUAAAGGACCAGCAGCAGCAUGGGCGGCCUGCUCUCCCAGGUAAGAAGAUCAGCAAAGGUAAGAGCUGUUCUCCUUCCUGCAUUUGCUGCAUAGACUGUAUAUAAAAUAACUGGACUGAGCAAGUGUAGGAAAAAGAGCUGCUCCAUUUCUCAAAUUCAGUGUCCAGCCACGUGUCCAGAUAAAUGGUUUAACAAGGGUUUCCAGGAAAGAUAAGACAGAAAUAGAUGUGUUGGAAUGUCUGGUGUUGACCAAGGUUCCUCUGGUACAAUUGCCAAAGAAGGACUGUGGUCCCAUUGAAGGCGGUGUGUGUGCUGUGCUUUGGGUCACGUACACUCAGGUAUAAAGAUUGCAGAGAGCAGAGAUCGGGGGCUUCGUCAACUAAAUCUGAAUGGUUACGCUGGAAUACUCUCUGACUUUAUUCAUGAAUAAACAGAACCUCUGAGCACGUGCAGCGUCCGGUCUUUCAUUUUACUUUGACUCAAUUUUUCCUCAACACAAGCCCCCCUAUUUCCGUGUUCCAUAUAGGAAGUACCACUGGGUUGCAAAAAGGCCAAAGUCCCAUUGACUUCCAUUGAGAAAUAGACAG
Molecule: long non-coding RNA, 1743 nt
Organism: Oryzias melastigma (Indian medaka)
Lineage: Eukaryota; Metazoa; Chordata; Actinopteri; Beloniformes; Adrianichthyidae
Exons: 3
Source: RefSeq, a predicted model, not a curated record